UGGAAAUCCAUUCAAUCUUAUCUGAUAGCAAUGAUAUUUUACCAACAUUUCUUUGAUAUUACUUUGUAUGUUUAAGUAGACAAAUUCAUAUUUUACAUCCAUUGGAAAGCUCUGCUAUAUGAAAAUAUAAAAUAAGAUCCAGCUCUAGAUUAUAGUAGAGAAAUCAGACUCCGAUCACAGAAUAUGCAAGUACAAAGAAGUGUAAAACUGGUUUGCAGCCAACAAAAUUCUUGCAAAAGUGCAGAAUUGUGGAAUUAAGGACUUCCAAUUCAGUGAUAUCUGAAAUAAGGUCUGGAUUGCUGGCAACCAGGGGACCCAAAUAAGUGUCAGAACAUUUGAUAAUAGUUUGACUACUUACGGUAGGAUGGUGCCAGGGAACUACUGGCAGCAAUAGCAUUGCUGUCGUUGUUAUGGUGCUGGUUUGACCAAUUUACAGGGUUUUUUGUUAGGAACAUUGCUUGAUCUCUACAAUAGAUUGCUGAUUGAAAUACAAUCUAAUUUUUACUUGCAUGAUUUUAAAGUCAGAUGGAAAAAAAGAGUAAAUG
Pelobates cultripes (western spadefoot toad) is the source of this 545-nucleotide non-coding RNA. The record is from the annotation of a GenBank genome assembly. Lineage: Eukaryota; Metazoa; Chordata; Amphibia; Anura; Pelobatidae.